AGUGAACGCUGGCGGUAGGCCUAGCACAUGCAAGUCGAACGGCAGCACAGUAAGAGCUUGCUCUUACGGGUGGCGAGUGGCGGACGGGUGAGGAAUACAUCGGAAUCUACUUUUUCGUGGGGGAUAACGUAGGGAAACUUACGCUAAUACCGCAUACGACCUACGGGUGAAAGCAGGGGAUCUUCGGACCUUGCGCGAUUGAAUGAGCCGAUGCCGGAUUAGCUAGUUGGCGGGGUAAAGGCCCACCAAGGCGACGAUCCGUAGCUGGUCUGAGAGGAUGAUCAGCCACACUGGAACUGAGACACGGUCCAGACUCCUACGGGAGGCAGCAGUGGGGAAUAUUGGACAAUGGGCGCAAGCCUGAUCCAGCCAUACCGCGUGGGUGAAGAAGGCCUUCGGGUUGUAAAGCCCUUUUGUUGGGAAAGAAAAGCAGCAGGUUAAUACCCCGCUGUUCUGACGGUACCCAAAGAAUAAGCACCGGCUAACUUCGUG
Molecule: ribosomal RNA, 492 nt
Filed under: uncultured bacterium
Lineage: Bacteria
Description: partial 16S ribosomal RNA
Rfam family: Bacterial small subunit ribosomal RNA
Source: RNAcentral